GUUCCCGGCCCGCGGACGCUUAGAGAAGGGAGUUUCGGAGUUAUGGGGGGACCCACCCUUCUAUUUAAUAACUGAGAAAGCCACGGGAGGGGACUUGCUGGGCUCACAGCCAGUGAUCCCUGCCCUGUUUCCUUAUGGGGACUGCGGUCGGAAAUGGGGAGUGGGGCAGAACCUGUCACCGUCACGGUCCUGUUUAGAGAGGAAGGUCGGAGAAACCAGAGCAGUGGAAGGCUCUCGGGCGUUGUCAGGCGCUGUCCCCAGAUCACCGGCUCUAUGACCCUGGGAGAAUGGGAAUUUCGUAAGAGCAGGGACAUGAGGGUGAACUGCUCACCCAGGCACCGCUGGCGCCCGGAACCCAGCUCCCUCGGGGCUCCGGAGAGGCGGCCUCAGCCGUGUGCUGGUGCUGCCCUCCAGUGGCGCUGGGUCCCCAUGGCAUCUGGCUUUCUCCUGCUCCCCAGUGGCCUUUUCUUCUCCCACCCACCUGUCACCAGCCCCCAGGGUAAGUCUCUGUGUGACUCUAGGGUGAAGGUGGAGGGACCUUGCCUCCGAGGAUUCAUCCCACCUGGAUUCCGAUGAGUGAGAGACCCUCUCUGGCACCUGGUGUUUGAAUGGCCAGCCUCACAGUUAAUAAAGACAAGUUUGGUAUCA
Molecule: long non-coding RNA, 648 nt
Filed under: Pongo abelii (Sumatran orangutan)
Lineage: Eukaryota; Metazoa; Chordata; Mammalia; Primates; Hominidae
Description: lincRNA
Source: RNAcentral